This 253-nucleotide ribosomal RNA is filed under the name uncultured prokaryote. RNAcentral describes it as "partial 16S ribosomal RNA". It matches the Rfam family "Bacterial small subunit ribosomal RNA", at positions 524 to 776 of the family's 1533-position model. The record is from RNAcentral.
UACGGGGGGGGCAAGCGUUGUUCGGAAUUACUGGGCGUAAAGGGUUUGUAGGUGGUCUGUUAAGUCAGACGUGAAAUCCCUCAGCUUAACUGGGGAACUGCGUCUGAGACUGAUGGACUUGAGGGCAGGAGAGGAACGCGGAAUUCCAGGUGUAGCGGUGAAAUGCGUAGAUAUCUGGAGGAACAUCGGUGGCGAAGGCGGCAUCCUGGACCGGUAUUGACGCUGAGGCGCGAAAGCCAGGGGAGCAAACGGG